AUUCAGGCGCUGUGCAAUGAACUGAUGCUGAACCCCGUCAGGCCCGGAAGGGAGCAGCGGUAAGCGUUCGGAACAUGUGCCGCAGUUUGCUUGAGCGGA
Molecule: signal recognition particle RNA, 99 nt
Filed under: Spirochaetaceae bacterium
Lineage: Bacteria; Pseudomonadati; Spirochaetota; Spirochaetia; Spirochaetales; Spirochaetaceae
Description: signal recognition particle sRNA small type
Rfam family: Bacterial small signal recognition particle RNA
About the family: The signal recognition particle (SRP) is a universally conserved ribonucleoprotein involved in the co-translational targeting of proteins to membranes. Archaeal SRP consists of a 7S RNA and homologues of the eukaryotic SRP19 and SRP54 proteins. In most bacteria, the SRP consists of a 4.5S RNA and the Ffh protein (a homologue of the eukaryotic SRP54 protein).
Source: RNAcentral